UUCCCCCCCGCCCCACCCCCGCCGACCUCCCACUGUCGCUGCUGGAGGAAGAGCCCCGGGAGGAGAAGGGUGCGCCGCGCCGCGCCCGCGUGUCAAUGGCAGCCGCGCAUUCUGGAAGAAUUUCCGAACCAAACGCACCCUCGCCAGCCCCGGGAAGAAAGGCCCAAGGGAGAAACCUGGGGCGCUCGGCUGGUGCCCCCACCGCCGGGCGAGGGAUGCGGGCGGUCCGUGCGCGGCAGGCGGAAAGGAUCGUGUUUCUGGACCCGGCCACCCCCCGCGUCCGCACCGCCGCCCCCGAGGGACGAGUGACAGCGGCCGC
This 319-nucleotide long non-coding RNA is filed under the name Homo sapiens (human). Its description in RNAcentral is "non-protein coding lnc-MYL12B-6:1". Lineage: Eukaryota; Metazoa; Chordata; Mammalia; Primates; Hominidae. The record is from RNAcentral.